Molecule: long non-coding RNA, 241 nt
Filed under: Monodelphis domestica (gray short-tailed opossum)
Lineage: Eukaryota; Metazoa; Chordata; Mammalia; Didelphimorphia; Didelphidae
Description: lncRNA (ENSMODG00000049507.1)
Source: RNAcentral
CAGGAAUCUUCCACUGCUGCUCCCAUUAUGACAAGACUGCAGGAACUGUAGGUGGCUUUUACAUCAAAUGUCAACCUAGACAUCAGUAUGAAUGAUGAAACCUCCCAGAGCUAUAACAGUGCCCAACAUUAAGAAGAUGACUUCAGGCCCAAUACCCUAUAUACUGUGCUACCUAGCUAUUCAUAAGUUACAUUCACUCCCAUUACAAGCCAGGCAAGUCAAGAACGUCAAUCACCUUUAA